AUCAACCGUAACAACAACUUCCAGACGUUUCCUCAAGCUGUUCUACUGCUGUUCAGGUGUGCCACAGGCGAGGGCUGGCAGGAGAUCAUGUUGGGCUGUUUGUACGGUCAACGUUGUGACCCCAAGUCAGAAUACCUACCUGGAGAGGAGUACACCUGCGGCUCUGGAUUCGCUAUUCUCUACUUCAUGAGUUUUUACAUGCUCUGUGCUUUUCUUAUCAUUAAUUUGUUUGUUGC
This is a long non-coding RNA of Sinocyclocheilus grahami, 236 nucleotides long. RefSeq lists it as uncharacterized. The record is from RefSeq and is a predicted model, not a curated record. NCBI's taxonomy places the organism in Eukaryota, Metazoa, Chordata, Actinopteri, Cypriniformes, Cyprinidae. The transcript has 3 exons.